GACAGAGGGUGCAAACGUUGUUCGGAAUUAUUGGGCGUAAAGCGCGCGUAGGCGGUUACUCAAGUCGGAUGUGAAAGCCCUCGGCUUAACUGAGGAAGUGCACCCGAAACUGAGUAGCUAGAGUACUAAAGAGGGUCGCGGAAUUCCCGGUGUAGAGGUGAAAUUCGUAGAUAUCGGGGGGAACACCGGUGGCGAAGGCGGCGACCUGGGUAGAUACUGACGCUGAGGCGCGAAAGCGUGGGGAGCAAACAGG
RNAcentral lists this ribosomal RNA (253 nucleotides) under uncultured bacterium. Its description in RNAcentral is "partial 16S ribosomal RNA". It matches the Rfam family "Bacterial small subunit ribosomal RNA", at positions 524 to 776 of the family's 1533-position model. The record is from RNAcentral.